CCUACGGGAGGCAGCAGUCGAGAAUCAUUCACAAUGGGGGAAACCCUGAUGGUGCGACGCCGCGUGGGGGAAUGAAGGUCUUCGGAUUGUAAACCCCUGUCAUGUGGGAGCAAAUUAAAAAAAUAGUACCACAAGAGGAAGAGACGGCUAACUCUGUGCCAGCAGCCGCGGUAAUACAGAGGUCUCAAGAGUUGUUCGGAAUCACUGGGCGUAAAGCGUGCGUAGGCUGUGUCGUAAGUCGUGUGUGAAAGGCGCGGGCCUAACCCGCGGACGGCACAUGAUACUGCGAGACUAGAGUAAUCGAGGGGGAAGCGGAAUGCUCGGUGUAGCAGUGAAAUGCGUAGAUAUCGAGAGGAACACUCGUGGCGAAGGCGGGUUCCUGGACAUUAACUGACGCUGAGGCACGAAGGCCAGGGGAGCGAAAGGGAUUAGAUACCCGGGUAGUC
Molecule: ribosomal RNA, 446 nt
Filed under: uncultured bacterium
Lineage: Bacteria
Description: partial 16S ribosomal RNA
Rfam family: Bacterial small subunit ribosomal RNA
Source: RNAcentral